This 506-nucleotide ribosomal RNA is filed under the name uncultured bacterium. Its description in RNAcentral is "partial 16S ribosomal RNA". It matches the Rfam family "Bacterial small subunit ribosomal RNA", at positions 28 to 523 of the family's 1533-position model. The record is from RNAcentral.
GAUGAGCGCUAGCUACAGGCUUAACACAUGCAAGUCGAGGGGUAACGAGAGGAAAGCUUGCUUUCCUUGUCGACGACCGGCGCACGGGUGAGUAACGCGUAUCCAACCUGCCCCCAACUAGGGAAUAACCUUGCGAAAGUAAGACUAAUACCCUAUAAUUUCCUCAGAUGUCAUCUGACGAGGAAUAAAGUUUUACGGGUUGUGGAUGGGGAUGCGUCAGAUUAGCUUGUUGGCGGGGUAACGGCCCACCAAGGCAACGAUCAGUAGGGGUUCUGAGAGGAAGGUCCCCCACAUUGGAACUGAGACACGGUCCAAACUCCUACGGGAGGCAGCAGUGAGGAAUAUUGGUCAAUGGGCGGAAGCCUGAACCAGCCAAGUAGCGUGCAGGAUGACGGCCCUAUGGGUUGUAAACUGCUUUUAUACAGGAAUAAAGUUAGCCACGUGUGGUUAUUUGUAGGUACUGUAUGAAUAAGGACCGGCUAAUUCCGUGCCAGCAGCCGCAGUAA